This 253-nucleotide ribosomal RNA is filed under the name uncultured bacterium. RNAcentral's name for it is "partial 16S ribosomal RNA". It matches the Rfam family "Bacterial small subunit ribosomal RNA", at positions 524 to 776 of the family's 1533-position model. The record is from RNAcentral.
CACGUAGGGCGCAAGCGUUGUCCGGAAUUCUUGGGCGUAAAGAGCUCGUAGGUGGUCUGUUGCGUCCGCUGUGAAAACUCGGGGCUUAACCCCGAGCCUGCAGUGGAUACGGGCAGACUAGAGGUAGGUAGGGGAGAAUGGAAUUCCUGGUGUAGCGGUGAAAUGCGCAGAUAUCAGGAGGAACACCGGUGGCGAAGGCGGUUCUCUGGGACGGUACUGACGCUGAGACGCGAAAGCGUGGGGAGCGAACAGG